Molecule: transfer RNA, 64 nt
Filed under: Thalassina kelanang
Lineage: Eukaryota; Metazoa; Arthropoda; Malacostraca; Decapoda; Thalassinidae
Description: tRNA-Leu
Source: RNAcentral
ACUAAAAUGGCAGAGACAUGCAUAGGACUUAAGCUCCUACUACGAAGACCAUCUUCUUUUAGAA